ACGGAGGGUCCAAGCGUUAAUCGGAAUUACUGGGCGUAAAGCGCGCGUAGGCGGUUAGGUCAGUCAGAUGUGAAAGCCCUGGGCUCAACCUGGGAACUGCAUCUGAUACUGCUUAACUAGAGUUUGGUAGAGGAGUGUGGAAUUUCCUGUGUAGCGGUGAAAUGCGUAGAUAUAGGAAGGAACACCAGUGGCGAAGGCGACACUCUGGACCAAAACUGACGCUGAGGUGCGAAAGCGUGGGGAGCAAACAGG
This 252-nucleotide ribosomal RNA is filed under the name uncultured bacterium. RNAcentral describes it as "partial 16S ribosomal RNA". It matches the Rfam family "Bacterial small subunit ribosomal RNA", at positions 525 to 776 of the family's 1533-position model. The record is from RNAcentral.